Molecule: ribosomal RNA, 460 nt
Filed under: uncultured bacterium
Lineage: Bacteria
Description: partial 16S ribosomal RNA
Rfam family: Bacterial small subunit ribosomal RNA
Source: RNAcentral
CCUACGGGAGGCAGCAGUGAGGAAUAUUGGUCAAUGGCCGUAAGGCUGAACCAGCCAAGUCGCGUGAAGGAAGAAGGAUCUAUGGUUUGUAAACUUCUUUUAUAGGGGAAUAAAGGUAUCCACGUGUGGAUCUUUGCAUGUACCCUAUGAAUAAGCAUCGGCUAACUCCGUGCCAGCAGCCGCGGUAAUACGGAGGAUGCGAGCGUUAUCCGGAUUUAUUGGGUUUAAAGGGUGCGUAGGUUGUUGUUUAAGUCAGUGGUGAAAGUUUGUGGCUCAACCAUAAAAUUGCCGUUGAAACUGGAAGACUUGAGUGUGUUUGAGGUAGGCGGAAUGCGUGGUGUAGCGGUGAAAUGCAUAGAUAGCACGCAGAACUCCGAUUGCGAAGGCAGCUUACUAAGCCAUAACUGACACUGAAGCACGAAAGCGUGGGGAUCAAACAGGAUUAGAUACCCUUGUAGUC